Long non-coding RNA from Columba livia (rock pigeon), 465 nucleotides. RefSeq lists it as uncharacterized. The transcript is spliced from 3 exons. Lineage: Eukaryota; Metazoa; Chordata; Aves; Columbiformes; Columbidae. The record is from RefSeq and is a predicted model, not a curated record.
UCCCCGAUAUAGAGCUGAGGGCAAACAUUUGUGUGCUUGUGAGAGAGCAAGGGUCUCCCCUGUAACUGUUUGGUAGUUUUGUAGAGUUGCAGGCGGUGGCACAACUAUCAACGUCUAGCAUACCUGCAGACAUGACCCGGUGCGUGUGGAGACAGUGUCCCUGAAUGUCUUUGUGCGUAAGCGCCUGCUGAAUCUAUCCGUCUCGCCACACGCACGAUUUGGCCACCAUGACCCUCACCAUCCUCGAAGAUUUGCGUGUUGUACUAAGAGCCACCAGGGAAGAAGUGGCAGCUGAGCACCUAUUCCGACUCCUCUGAAGGCUUUGCAGGUGGAAAAGAGCGACCUGUUACCUUGGCCCAGACCCAGUCUCAACAAUGUCUCUUCUGCCUGUGUGGGAACUCAGCUGAAGGUAUUUUUCUUUAUAUACUAAGGCAGGGUACUGCUGCCAUGUGUCUGGCCUGCUCU